UACGGAGGGUGCAAGCGUUAUCCGGAUUCACUGGGUUUAAAGGGUGCGUAGGUGGAUUGGUAAGUCAGUGGUGAAAUCUCUGGGCUUAACUCAGAAACUGCCAUUGAUACUAUCAGUCUUGAAUACUGUGGAGGUUAGCGGAAUAUGUCAUGUAGCGGUGAAAUGCUUAGAUAUGACAUAGAACACCAAUUGCGAAGGCAGCUGGCUACACAAAUAUUGACACUGAGGCUCGAAAGCGUGGGGAUCAAACAGG
RNAcentral lists this ribosomal RNA (253 nucleotides) under uncultured bacterium. RNAcentral describes it as "partial 16S ribosomal RNA". It matches the Rfam family "Bacterial small subunit ribosomal RNA", at positions 524 to 776 of the family's 1533-position model. The record is from RNAcentral.